UGCAAGUCUGGUGCCAGCAGCCGCGGUAAUUCCAGCUCCAAUAGCGUAUAUUAAAGUUGUUGCAGUUAAAAAGCUCGUAGUUGAACCUUGGGUCUGGCUGGCCGGUCCGCCUCACCGCGAGUACUGGUCCGGCUGGACCUUUCCUUCUGGGGAACCUCAUGGCCUUCACUGGCUGUGGGGGGAACCAGGACUUUUACUGUGAAAAAAUUAGAGUGUUCAAAGCAGGCCUUUGCUCGAAUACAUUAGCAUGGAAUAAUAGAAUAGGACGUGCGGUUCUAUUUUGUUGGUUUCUAGGACCGCCGUAAUGAUUAAUAGGGAUAGUCGGGGGCGUCAGUAUUCAGCUGUCAGAGGUGAAAUUCUUGGAUUUGCUGAAGACUAACUACUGCGAAAGCAUUUGCCAA
This 401-nucleotide ribosomal RNA is filed under the name uncultured bacterium. RNAcentral's name for it is "SSU rRNA". It matches the Rfam family "Eukaryotic small subunit ribosomal RNA", at positions 554 to 961 of the family's 1831-position model. The record is from RNAcentral.